AUUGAACGCUGGCGGCAGGCCUAACACAUGCAAGUCGAACGAGUGGCGGACGGGUGUGUAAUGUCUGGAAAACUGCCUGAUGGAGGGGGAUAACUACUGGAAACGGUAGCUAAUACCGCAUACCAUCAGAUUUGCCCAGAUGGGAUUGGCUUUUUGGUGGGGUAACGGCGACCAAAGGCGACGAUCCCUAGCUGGUCUCAGAGGAUGACCGGCCACACUGGAACUGGGAAACGGUCCAGACUCCUACGGGAGGCAGCAGUGGGAAAUGUUGGACAAUGUGCGAAAGCCUGAUCCAGCCGUGCCGCGUGUGUGAAGAAGGUCUUGGGAUUGUAAAGCACUUUAAGUUGGGAGGCGUUACCAAAAGAAUAAGCACCGGCUAACUUCGUGCCAGCAGCCGCGGUAAUAC
RNAcentral lists this ribosomal RNA (406 nucleotides) under uncultured bacterium. Its description in RNAcentral is "partial 16S ribosomal RNA". It matches the Rfam family "Bacterial small subunit ribosomal RNA", at positions 30 to 526 of the family's 1533-position model. The record is from RNAcentral.